Hibiscus syriacus is the source of this 153-nucleotide long non-coding RNA. RefSeq lists it as uncharacterized. The record is from RefSeq and is a predicted model, not a curated record. The transcript is spliced from 3 exons. Lineage: Eukaryota; Viridiplantae; Streptophyta; Magnoliopsida; Malvales; Malvaceae.
GCCAUCAGAGCCAAAACAAUGUUAAUGACCAUGAUUAUUAAAACCAAGUUCGCAGUCUUCUUAGCUGAGAAAAUGUUGCUCAUCUUCGUUCUCGUAGCUGAGACCUAAAAAACAGAGGCUCGCAAAAUUAGUUAGAUGUUUUUUGCUUGGGAA